GGCCUAGCAACGUGGGCCUGUAACCCAAGUGGGGGCAUGUGGGAAAUGGGACUUUAGUUCGGCCCAUUGGAUCGGAUCCAGUGUUAGCUGCUUGCUGGGCUGCCCAUUCCAAGCCGAGAGUUGAGCUGUGUGAGCCGGACGAAGGUCUGGCUUGGUCAGCUCCUAAAGCGGAGGGCAAUGCGUGAGGCUGGUUUCACAGAGCAGCGACAACCUCCCGCUCUCGGCAGUGGAAGGAUAACGGGCCGGUGCUGCUUGGACCCACCAUGGUUCACUGAGCUGACUCUUAAUAGGACCAUUUCUUUU
This 303-nucleotide signal recognition particle RNA is filed under the name Humulus japonicus (Japanese hop). Its description in RNAcentral is "Plant signal recognition particle RNA". It matches the Rfam family "Plant signal recognition particle RNA". The record is from Rfam by way of RNAcentral. Lineage: Eukaryota; Viridiplantae; Streptophyta; Magnoliopsida; Rosales; Cannabaceae.